Vitis riparia (riverbank grape) is the source of this 1638-nucleotide RNA transcript. It is a transcript of the gene named putative methyltransferase At1g22800, mitochondrial, with no coding region annotated. Lineage: Eukaryota; Viridiplantae; Streptophyta; Magnoliopsida; Vitales; Vitaceae. The record is from RefSeq and is a predicted model, not a curated record. The transcript has 12 exons.
UUCACUGCAAAACAGACCCGAAAAGAUUAAAGAGCUGAAGAUGAGAGCUUUGGUGGCGACGCUGUGCCGGAGAAGAGUUCAAGAGCCGUUCUCGCGCUUCUUCUACGGCUCAUUCUCUACGGACAAUGGAGAUGGGUUUCAGAGUUCACGCGUCAAGAUCUUCGAUCGCCAUCUCAAACGCAAACAACGUGAUCGAGCUGCGUGGUUGGCAUGUCCAAAGGAUCCUUUAGUUGACACAGUUGCUGAGAAUCUUUUGGAUCGACUGGAGGAUUGCAAAAAGGCAUUUCCUACAGCGUUAUGUUUGGGGGGUUCAUUGGAAGCUAUUAGGCGUUUGUUGCGUGGGCGUGGUGCCAUCGAAAAGCUCAUUAUGAUGGAUACGUCUUAUGACAUGGUGAAAUUGUGUAGAGAUGCUGAGCAAGAUGUGCCUAAUGAAAGCAUAGAAACAUCCUUUGUGGUUGGUGAUGAAGAGUUUUUGCCCAUAAAAGAAAGUUCUCUAGAUCUGGUAAUCAGCUGCUUGGGACUCCAUUGGACGAAUGAUCUUCCUGGAGCCAUGAUACAGUGCAGAUUGGCAUUGAAGCCCGAUUGCCUAUUUUUAGCAGCUAUUCUUGGUGGAGAAACCUUAAAGGAGCUGAGAAUAGCAUGUACUGUAGCACAAAUGGAGCGUGAAGGGGGCAUAAGUCCACGAGUAUCACCAUUGGCACAGGUUCGGGAUGCGGGCAAUCUUUUGACUCGUGCAGGCUUUACGCUUCCUAGUGUUGAUGUUGAUGAAUACACUGUUAAAUAUAGAAGUGCUCUUGACCUAAUAGAACAUCUGCGUUCAAUGGGUGAAACUAAUGCUCUUCUACAGAAAAGCAAUAUCUUAAAGAGAGAAACAGCCCUAGCAACUGCAGCUGUUUAUGAUUCAAUGUUUGCAGAAGAAGAUGGCACCAUUCCCGCAACCUUCCAGGUUAUUUACAUGACUGGGUGGAGGGAACACUCUUCUCAGCAGAAGGCCAAAAGAAGGGGAUCUGCCACAGUAUCUUUCCAAGACAUACAAAAGCAGUUUGGCAGUGAUAGUUGACUGGUAGUCUUUAUGAAUGUUAAAGACGAUGAAGGAACUUCCCCAACAUGGGCAGAGAGGCAUUCCAAUGCCCACCAAGGUGGCAGCAUUUUCAUAUGUAGCAUGAUUAUUCUGAAGGGAAACAAAAUAAGAGAAGUCAGUUAUGGUUGUUAUACAAUUGCUUUGUAUUGAUGUCCUCACCAAAUUGAAUUGAUGUAGGAGUUUCUACAGAGCAAAAGUACCAGGAGGCAAAGUUAUGGGUGCCUUUUCCUUUAAGUUAAAAAACUGUUCCAAUGGAGGAUAUGAGAAGUCACUGUGUCAUGGGUUAAUUAUCUCAGAUAAUGUGAUGGGUUUUUAGUGAUGUUGGGUAGACUUUUUAAGACACAACUGAUGCCCUAGAUGGUUGAUGUUGCUUCAAGAGCUGGUAGAUCCUUUCGGUGGACGUCUUGCUUAGCCAAGCAUGCAGAUGGGUUAGUAAACUUUUAUUUUAAAAAAAUUUGGAUGAUUGUUGACAUAAAGCUGGUGAUAAUUCAUGAUUAGAUGUUGAUUAGAUGUAGGACGAACGUCACUCUUGUGUUUUCCUAAUGGAUUUGUGACUC